UGGCGGCCAUAGCGUACGGGUACCACCCGAUCCCAUCUCGAACUCGGAAGUGAAAACGUUCAGCGCCGAUGAUAGUGCGGGGUCUCCCUGUGUGAAAGUAGGUCACUGCCAG
This 112-nucleotide ribosomal RNA is filed under the name marine eukaryotic metagenome. The record is from RNAcentral.